UACGAAGGGGGCUAGCGUUGCUCGGAAUUACUGGGCGUAAAGGGCGCGUAGGCGGCUUGCACAGUCAGGCGUGAAAUUCCUGGGCUCAACCUGGGGACUGCGCUUGAGACGUGUGGGCUUGAGUGGGGAAGAGGGUCGUGGAAUUCCCAGUGUAGAGGUGAAAUUCGUAGAUAUUGGGAAGAACACCGGUGGCGAAGGCGGCGACCUGGUCCUUGACUGACGCUGAGGCGCGAAAGCGUGGGGAGCAAACAGG
This 253-nucleotide ribosomal RNA is filed under the name uncultured bacterium. RNAcentral's name for it is "partial 16S ribosomal RNA". It matches the Rfam family "Bacterial small subunit ribosomal RNA", at positions 524 to 776 of the family's 1533-position model. The record is from RNAcentral.